Molecule: unclassified non-coding RNA, 344 nt
Filed under: soil metagenome
Description: partial contains 5.8S ribosomal RNA, internal transcribed spacer 2, and large subunit ribosomal RNA
Rfam family: 5.8S ribosomal RNA (bases 1-120)
Source: RNAcentral
GAUGAAGAACGCAGCGAAAUGCGAUAAGUAAUGUGAAUUGCAGAAUUCAGUGAAUCAUCGAAUCUUUGAACGCACAUUGCGCCCGCCAGUAUUCUGGCGGGCAUGCCUGUUCGAGCGUCAUUUCAACCCUCAAGCCCCCGGGCUUGGUGUUGGGGAUCGGCGUGCCCUCGCGGCGCGCCGUCCCCUAAAUCUAGUGGCGGUCUCGCUGUAGCUUCCUCUGCUUAGUAGCAACACUCGCACUGGAUCGCAGCGCGGCCACGCCGUUAAACCCCCCACUUCUGAAAGUUUGACCUCGGAUCAGGUAGGAAUACCCGCUGAACUUAAGCAUAUCAAUAAGCGGAGGA